AGUCGAACGGUAACAGCAGAGCUUGCUCUGGCUGACGAGUGGCGCACGGGUGCGUAACGCGUAUACAAUCUGCCUAUUACUGGGGUAUAGCCCGAAGAAAUUUGGAUUAACCCCCCAUAGUAUUGAGAUAAGGCAUCUUAUUUCAAUUAAAACCACGGUGGUAAUAGAUGAGUAUGCGUCCUAUUAGUUUGUUGGUAAGGUAACGGCUUACCAAGACUUCGAUAGGUAGGGGUCCUGAGAGGGAGAUCCCCCACACUGGUACUGAGACACGGACCAGACUCCUACGGGAGGCAGCAGUGAGGAAUAUUGGACAAUGGAGGCAACUCUGAUCCAGCCAUGCCGCGUGCAGGAAGACUGCCCUAUGGGUUGUAAACUGCUUUUAUAGAGGAAGAAACCUCCCUUCGUGAAGGGAAUUGACGGUACUCUACGAAUAAGGAUCGGCUAACUCCGUGCCAGCAGCCGCGGUAAUACGGAGGAUCCAAGCGUUAUCCGGAAUCAUUGGGUUUAAAGGGUCCGUAGGCGGACUGAUAAGUCAGUGGUGAAAGUCUGCAGCUCAACUGUAGAAUUGCCAUUGAUACUGUUAGUCUUGAGUCAUUAUGAAGUGGUUAGAAUGAGUGGUGUAGCGGUGAAAUGCAUAGAUAUCACUCAGAAUACCGAUUGCGAAGGCAGAUCACUAAUAAUGUACUGACGCUGAUGGACGAAAGCGUAGGUAGCGAACAGGAUUAGAUACCCUGGUAGUCUACGCCGUAAACGAUGGUUACUAGCUGUUUGGUCGAUUGAGACUGAGUGGCUAAGCGAAAGUGAUAAGUAACCCACCUGGGGAGUACGUUCGCAAGAAUGAAACUCAAAGGAAUUGACGGGGGCCCGCACAAGCGGUGGAGCAUGUGGUUUAAUUCGAUGAUACGCGAGGAACCUUACCAGGGCUUAAAUGUAGUCUGACAGAUUUGGAAACAGAUUUUUCUUCGGACAGAUUACAAGGUGCUGCAUGGUUGUCGUCAGCUCGUGCCGUGAGGUGUCAGGUUAAGUCCUAUAACGAGCGCAACCCCUGUGG
This 1051-nucleotide ribosomal RNA is filed under the name Salegentibacter sp. Its description in RNAcentral is "bacterial SSU rRNA". It matches the Rfam family "Bacterial small subunit ribosomal RNA", at positions 60 to 1110 of the family's 1533-position model. Lineage: Bacteria; Pseudomonadati; Bacteroidota; Flavobacteriia; Flavobacteriales; Flavobacteriaceae. The record is from RNAcentral.